RNAcentral lists this ribosomal RNA (889 nucleotides) under uncultured bacterium. RNAcentral describes it as "bacterial SSU rRNA". It matches the Rfam family "Bacterial small subunit ribosomal RNA", at positions 1 to 894 of the family's 1533-position model. The record is from RNAcentral.
UUAGAGUUUGAUCCUGGCUCAGGACGAACGCUGGCGGCGUGCUUAACACAUGCAAGUCGAACGAGAAUCUACUGAAAGAGUUUUCGGACAAUGGAUGUAGAGGAAAGUGGCGGACGGGUGAGUAACGCGUGAGGAACCUGCCUUGAAGAGGGGGACAACAGUUGGAAACGACUGCUAAUACCGCAUGACGCAUAGAGGUCGCAUGAUCUUUAUGCCAAAGAUUUAUCGCUUCAAGAUGGCCUCGCGUCUGAUUAGCUGGUUGGCGGGGUAACGGCCCACCAAGGCAACGAUCAGUAGCCGGACUGAGAGGUUGAACGGCCACAUUGGGACUGAGAUACGGCCCAGACUCCUACGGGAGGCAGCAGUGGGGAAUAUUGGGCAAUGGGCGCAAGCCUGACCCAGCAACGCCGCGUGAAGGAAGAAGGCUUUCGGGUUGUAAACUUCUUUUAAGAGGGAAGAGCAGAAGACGGUACCUCUAGAAUAAGCCACGGCUAACUACGUGCCAGCAGCCGCGGUAAUACGUAGGUGGCAAGCGUUGUCCGGAUUUACUGGGUGUAAAGGGCGUGCAGCCGGGUCUGCAAGUCAGAUGUGAAAUCCAUGGGCUCAACCCAUGAACUGCAUUUGAAACUGUAGAUCUUGAGUGUCGGAGGGGCAAUCGGAAUUCCUAGUGUAGCGGUGAAAUGCGUAGAUAUUAGGAGGAACACCAGUGGCGAAGGCGGAUUGCUGGACGAUAACUGACGGUGAGGCGCGAAAGUGUGGGGAGCAAACAGGAUUAGAUACCCUGGUAGUCCACACUGUAAACGAUGAAUACUAGGUGUGCGGGGACUGACCCCCUGCGUGCCGCAGUAAACACAAUAAGUAUUCCACCUGGGGAGUACGAUCGCAAGGU